ACGCUGGCGGCAGGCCUAACACAUGCAAGUCGAGCGGAAACGACACUAUCGAUCCUUCGGAUGCGUUAAUGGGCGUCGAGCGGCGGACGGGUGAGUAAUGCCUAGGAAAUUGCCUUGAUGUGGGGGAUAACCAUUGGAAACGAUGGCUAAUACCGCAUAAUGCCUACGGGCCAAAGAGGGGGAUCUUCGGACCUCUCGCGUCAAGAUAUGCCUAGGUGGGAUUAGCUAGUUGGUGAGGUAAUGGCUCACCAAGGCGACGAUCCCUAGCUGGUCUGAGAGGAUGAUCAGCCACACUGGAACUGAGACACGGUCCAGACUCCUACGGGAGGCAGCAGUGGGGAAUAUUGCACAAUGGGCGAAAGCCUGAUGCAGCCAUGCCGCGUGUAUGAAGAAGGCCUUCGGGUUGUAAAGUACUUUCAGUUGUGAGGAAGGGUGUGUAGUUAAUAGCUGYRCAUCUUGACGUUAGCAACAGAAGAAGCACCGGCUAACUCCGUGCCAGCAGCCGCGGUAAUACGGAGGGUGCGAGCGUUAAUCGGAAUUACUGGGCGUAAAGCGCAUGCAGGUGGUUCAUUAAGUCAGAUGUGAAAGCCCGGGGCUCAACCUCGGAACUGCAUUUGAAACUGGUGAACUAGAGUGCUGUAGAGGGGGGUAGAAUUUCAGGUGUAGCGGUGAAAUGCGUAGAGAUCUGAAGGAAUACCAGUGGCGAAGGCGGCCCCCUGGACA
RNAcentral lists this ribosomal RNA (723 nucleotides) under Vibrio sp. 12F06. Its description in RNAcentral is "bacterial SSU rRNA". It matches the Rfam family "Bacterial small subunit ribosomal RNA", at positions 33 to 735 of the family's 1533-position model. The record is from RNAcentral. Lineage: Bacteria; Pseudomonadati; Pseudomonadota; Gammaproteobacteria; Vibrionales; Vibrionaceae.